This 1020-nucleotide long non-coding RNA is filed under the name Neodiprion lecontei (redheaded pine sawfly). RNAcentral describes it as "uncharacterized LOC124294229". Lineage: Eukaryota; Metazoa; Arthropoda; Insecta; Hymenoptera; Diprionidae. The record is from RNAcentral.
CUCAGCGUGAAACCUGGCCCAACUGGGCAACCCUCCCUGAUAAACGAAUACCCAAUGACAUGUUAUUUAUGAAGAUUUUGGUCGAUUCCAGUCACGCCCCUCUAUUCUUUCACAAUUAAAACAAGUAACAUGAAUUCACUCGAUUAUCAGACUCGACGAUUAUAUACCAGAUUCCUCAAUUACUCGUUUUACGGUCAGCGCAUUAACCGCAUCGUUAUUGACAAUGUCCAAGUCAACCGUUUCAUGGUUCUUAACGUCCAAGUCACUCACUCCGUGAUUCUCGAUUUAGAUGUCAUCGCGCUUUUUAGUUUCCAAUAUCCAAGUUAUUGAAUCAAGCCAAGUUAUUCGACACUGAACUGGAGGCCGAAAAUUAGAAAGAGGAUGAUCUGGGCUUGGAAAACUACAAAGCAGGUGACUUGGUCAUCGUGAACUAAAAAGCGGAAUACUUGGACAGAUGAAACUAUGGAUUGUAAGACCUGAGCAUAAAGAACCGUGAAAUUGAUGGCCUGGACAUUGAGACAACAAUGUGGAUUUAAUCAUAUAAUUGAUAUUGUAUGUGAAAAAUUGCACGUGAUAAAAUCUGCUCUGAUAGUCUAACAUCAGUUCAUAGAAUGUUUAUUUGUACCUCACUUCUUCAUCUCCCAAUUCUUUGUAAGAACUCCCCUUCGCUCUAAACACUUUUUGUUCAAGGACUCUUCUUCCGGAAUACACAUUUAUCUAUGCCAUGCCAAAUCAAUGCCUAUCGUUUUUGUUAUUCAUUUUGCAUAUCCAGAAGACACCAAAAAAUUUGUGUUACAAAUAAAUGAGUUGGACAUCCUGCAAUUUUAGGCACUCCAAAGCACCUCGAAACAAUGACUCUUUAAGGCAGUGAUGAAUAUAUAUUGUGGAAAGAAAACUGUCUUACUCUUAAACGCAGAGGUGUCUUGCCAGAGAAACGACCGACAAAUAUGUGGGGUACGCAUGAGUGUCACAAUGUCACACGAAAAAAUGUCCGUUCAUUACUUAAAGAUAAUUGGGUCG